Molecule: long non-coding RNA, 182 nt
Organism: Alosa alosa (allis shad)
Lineage: Eukaryota; Metazoa; Chordata; Actinopteri; Clupeiformes; Clupeidae
Exons: 2
Source: RefSeq, a predicted model, not a curated record
CGGGUGUUCAGCUCUCUGUCAAGUUCACUCCUCCUUAAUGGUGCCACUUCACUCUGCUACUGGAUGGUGGAGGGCUGACUGCGAACGGGUGGUCUAUGAAUGCUAUACUGAAUGGAUAGCAGGGAAGCACAUGAAUUUCUAAAUGAAGAAGAGUUAAUAAAUGCACUUGAUUUUCAAACUGA